RNAcentral lists this ribosomal RNA (500 nucleotides) under uncultured bacterium. Its description in RNAcentral is "partial 16S ribosomal RNA". It matches the Rfam family "Bacterial small subunit ribosomal RNA", at positions 29 to 523 of the family's 1533-position model. The record is from RNAcentral.
AUUGAACGCUGGCGGCAUGCCUUACACAUGCAAGUCGAACGGCAGCACGGGAGCAAUCCUGGUGGCGAGUGGCGAACGGGUGAGUAAUACAUCGGAACGUGCCCAGUAGUGGGGGAUAGCCCGGCGAAAGCCGGAUUAAUACCGCAUACGACCUGAGGGGGAAAGCGGGGGAUCGCAAGACCUCGCGCUAUUGGAGCGGCCGAUGUCAGAUUAGCUAGUUGGUGGGGUAAAGGCCUACCAAGGCAACGAUCUGUAGUUGGUCUGAGAGGACGACCAGCCACACUGGGACUGAGACACGGCCCAGACUCCUACGGGAGGCAGCAGUGGGGAAUUUUGGACAAUGGGGGCAACCCUGAUCCAGCAAUGCCGCGUGCAGGAAGAAGGCCUUCGGGUUGUAAACUGCUUUUGUCAGGGAAGAAAUCCUCUGGGUUAAUACCUCGGGGGGAUGACGGUACCUGAAGAAUAAGCACCGGCUAACUACGUGCCAGCCGCCGCGGUAA